Molecule: ribosomal RNA, 445 nt
Filed under: uncultured bacterium
Lineage: Bacteria
Description: bacterial SSU rRNA
Rfam family: Bacterial small subunit ribosomal RNA
Source: RNAcentral
AUUGAACGCUGGCGGCAUGGCUAAAACAUGCAAGUCGAGCGCGAAAGUGUAGCAAUACGCGAGUAGAGCGGCGAAAGGGUGAGUAAUGCAUUCCUACGUACCUCAAGGUCAGGGAUAGCCAGGGGAAACUCUGGGUAAUACCUGAUGUGAUCGAGAGAUCAAAGGCUUGCCGCCUUGAGAGCGGGGAACGUCCUAUCAGGUAGUUGGUGAGGUAACGGCUCACCAAGCCAAUGACGGGUAGCGGGUGUGAGAGCAUGGCCCGCCACAUCGAAACUGAGACACUGUUCGGACUCCUACGGGAGGCUGCAGUAACGAAUCUUCCGCAAUGCGCGAAAGCGUGACGGAGCAAUGCCGCGUGCAGGAUGAAGCCCCUCGGGGUGUAAACUGCUGUCAGGGAUUAGGAACACAAUGACCAGUCCCAAAGGAAGAGACGACUAACUCUGUG